CAAAGAAGGUAAUAAUCCUGUAGUCGAAAAUGUUGUCUCUCUUGAGUGGAUCCUGAGUACGACGGAGCACGUGAAAUUCCGUCGGAAUCUGGGAGGACCAUCUCCUAAGGCUAAAUACUCUCUAGUGACCGAUAGUGAACCAGUACCGUGAGGGAAAGGUGAAAAGCACCCCGGAAGGGGAGUGAAAUAGAACCUGAAACCGUGUGCUUACAAGUAGUCAGAGCCCGUUAAUGGGUGAUGGCGUGCCUUUUGUAGAAUGAACCGGCGAGUUACGAUUUGAUGCAAGGUUAAGCAGUAAAUGUGGAGCCGUAGCGAAAGCGAGUCUGAAUAGGGCGUUUAGUAUUUGGUCGUAGACCCGAAACCAGGUGAUCUACCCUUGGUCAGGUUGAAGUUCAGGUAACACUGAAUGGAGGACCGAACCGACUUACGUUGAAAAGUGAGCGGAUGAACUGAGGGUAGCGGAGAAAUUCCAAUCGAACCUGGAGAUAGCUGGUUCUCUCCGAAAUAGCUUUAGGGCUAGCCUCAAGUGAUGAUUAUUGGAGGUAGAGCACUGUUUGGACGAGGGGCCCCUCUCGGGUUACCGAAUUCAGACAAACUCCGAAUGCCAAUUAAUUUAACUUGGGAGUCAGAACAUGGGUGAUAAGGUCCGUGUUCGAAAGGGAAACAGCCCAGACCACCAGCUAAGGUCCCAAAAUAUAUGUUAAGUGGAAAAGGAUGUGGCGUUGCCCAGACAACUAGGAUGUUGGCUUAGAAGCAGCCAUCAUUUAAAGAGUGCGUAAUAGCUCACUAGUCGAGUGACACUGCGCCGAAAAUGUACCGGGGCUAAACAUAUUACCGAAGCUGUGGAUUGUCCUUUGGACAAUGGUAGGAGAGCGUUCUAAGGGCGUUGAAGCAUGAUCGUAAGGACAUGUGGAGCGCUUAGAAGUGAGAAUGCCGGUGUGAGUAGCGAAAGACGGGUGAGAAUCCCGUCCACCGAUUGACUAAGGUUUCCAGAGGAAGGCUCGUCCGCUCUGGGUUAGUCGGGUCCUAAGCUGAGGCCGACAGGCGUAGGCGAUGGAUAACAGGUUGAUAUUCCUGUACCACCUAUAAUCGUUUUAAUCGAUGGGGGGACGCAGUAGGAUAGGCGAAGCGUGCGAUUGGAUUGCACGUCUAAGCAGUAAGGCUGAGUAUUAGGCAAAUCCGGUACUCGUUAAGGCUGAGCUGUGAUGGGGAGAAGACAUUGUGUCUUCGAGUCGUUGAUUUCACACUGCCGAGAAAAGCCUCUAGAUAGAAAAUAGGUGCCCGUACCGCAAACCGACACAGGUAGUCAAGAUGAGAAUUCUAAGGUGAGCGAGCGAACUCUCGUUAAGGAACUCGGCAAAAUGACCCCGUAACUUCGGGAGAAGGGGUGCUCUUUAGGGUUAACGCCCAGAAGAGCCGCAGUGAAUAGGCCCAAGCGACUGUUUAUCAAAAACACAGGUCUCUGCUAAACCGUAAGGUGAUGUAUAGGGGCUGACGCCUGCCCGGUGCUGGAAGGUUAAGAGGAGUGGUUAGCUUCUGCGAAGCUACGAAUCGAAGCCCCAGUAAACGGCGGCCGUAACUAUAACGGUCCUAAGGUAGCGAAAUUCCUUGUCGGGUAAGUUCCGACCCGCACGAAAGGCGUAACGAUUUGGGCACUGUCUCAACGAGAGACUCGGUGAAAUCAUAGUACCUGUGAAGAUGCAGGUUACCCGCGACAGGACGGAAAGACCCCGUGGAGCUUUACUGUAGCCUGAUAUUGAAAUUCGGCACAGCUUGUACAGGAUAGGUAGGAGCCUUUGAAACGUGAGCGCUAGCUUACGUGGAGGCGCUGGUGGGAUACUACCCUAGCUG
RNAcentral lists this ribosomal RNA (1851 nucleotides) under Staphylococcus aureus. Its description in RNAcentral is "partial 23S ribosomal RNA". It matches the Rfam family "Bacterial large subunit ribosomal RNA", at positions 356 to 2211 of the family's 2925-position model. The record is from RNAcentral. Lineage: Bacteria; Bacillati; Bacillota; Bacilli; Caryophanales; Staphylococcaceae.